CACGUAGGGUGCGAGCGUUGUCCGGAAUUAUUGGGCGUAAAGAGCUCGUAGGCGGUGUGUCGCGUCGGCCGUGAAAACCUGCAGCUUAACUGUGGGCUUGCGGUCGAUACGGGCAUCACUGGAGUUCGGCAGGGGAGACUGGAAUUCCUGGUGUAGCGGUGAAAUGCGCAGAUAUCAGGAGGAACACCGGUGGCGAAGGCGGGUCUCUGGGCCGAUACUGACGCUAAGACACGAAAGCGUGGGUAGCAAACAGG
This 254-nucleotide ribosomal RNA is filed under the name uncultured bacterium. Its description in RNAcentral is "partial 16S ribosomal RNA". It matches the Rfam family "Bacterial small subunit ribosomal RNA", at positions 524 to 776 of the family's 1533-position model. The record is from RNAcentral.